Molecule: non-coding RNA, 591 nt
Organism: Cyanistes caeruleus (blue tit)
Lineage: Eukaryota; Metazoa; Chordata; Aves; Passeriformes; Paridae
Source: RefSeq, a predicted model, not a curated record
CCAGAAAUACUUAGCGGCCACCAUAUUUAAUCGGAAAAUCAAAGAUACAGUUCCAGGCUCGAGUUCCAGGUUGCAGUUCCAGGCUCAAGUUCCAGAAGCUUAUGUUAGAUCUGGAAGAAAAUAAUUGAGUUGUCUGACAGCAACAAGAGAUGUUAGAGACACAAGUGAAUUCCUCAGGAGAGAAAGAAAUAUCAAGGCGUGCAUAAUUCAAACUGACAAGUGCUAGAGCUGUGGAAAAGAGGCAAGAAACAAGGACCAAAGGUCCUUGCUAAGUAGCAGGAUGAAAGAUGGCUUAGUGUAAUUUUGCAGAAGGAUUCAGUUUUGCAGAUUUCCAAACAAGAAACGUGGAUAUUAAUGGGGGUUUGCAAAGAGCAAACUCAAUAACAGUCCCAGUCAAUUAAAAGUACAUAAAGUAUUAAUGUGUUAUCCCCUGGUUUGUGUUUAAGGGGCUGUGGAGACUAAUGUUUAAAUCCCAGGAGAAAAAGCCCAAUCCUGUGCUCAAACCCCGUAUUUGGAGCUGUCAUCCAUUACCAAACAUCACUUCAUUAAUAUUCAAAAGAUUUCUCCAUGUUUCCCAAAACAUGGAUUAGG